Molecule: ribosomal RNA, 660 nt
Filed under: Nematoda environmental sample
Lineage: Eukaryota; Metazoa; Nematoda
Description: SSU rRNA
Rfam family: Eukaryotic small subunit ribosomal RNA
Source: RNAcentral
UCUGGAGCUAAUACUUGCGAAAUGCGACAACCUCACGGGAGUCGUGCAUUUAUUAGAUUAAACCAAUCGGUCCUUCGGGACCGCCAUUUGGUGAACUCUGAAUAACUUAGCUGAUCGCACAGUCUCGUACUGGCGACAAAUCUUUCAAGUGUCUGCCUUAUCAACUUUCGAUGGUAGUUUAUACGACUACCAUGGUUGUAACGGGUAACGGAGAAUAAGGGUUCGACUCCGGAGAGGGAGCCUGAGAAACGGCUACCACAUCCAAGGAAGGCAGCAGGCGCGCAAAUUACCCACUCGCAGAACGCGGAGGUAGUGACGAAAAAUAACGAGGUGGCUCUCUAUGAGGUCCAUCAUCGGAAUGGGUACAAUUUAAAUCCUUUAACGAGGAUCUAUUGGAGGGCAAGUCUGGUGCCAGCAGCCGCGGUAAUUCCAGCUCCAAUAGCGUAUACUAAAGUUGUUGCGGUUAAAAAGCUCGUAGUUGGAUCUGCGCUCGGUGAAAGCGGUCGCCCGAUGGGUUGUUACUGCUUCUCCCGGGCUAACCAUUCGGUUUUCCCUUGAUGCUCUUAACUGAGUGUCCUGGGUGACCGGAACGUUUACUUUGAAAAAAUUAGAGUGCUCAAAGCAGGCGAUUUGCCAGAAUAUUCGUGCAUGGAAUAAUAA